GUCCAUAUGACGAGUCCCAAACAGGACGAAACUCGCAUUCUGGAU
Molecule: non-coding RNA, 45 nt
Filed under: Trichobilharzia regenti
Lineage: Eukaryota; Metazoa; Platyhelminthes; Trematoda; Strigeidida; Schistosomatidae
Source: RNAcentral